RNAcentral lists this ribosomal RNA (526 nucleotides) under uncultured bacterium. RNAcentral's name for it is "bacterial SSU rRNA". It matches the Rfam family "Bacterial small subunit ribosomal RNA", at positions 778 to 1311 of the family's 1533-position model. The record is from RNAcentral.
AUAGAUACCCCGGUAGUCCACGCCGUAAACGAUGGAUACUAGCUGUUUGAGCGCAAGUUUGAGUGGCUAAGCGAAAGUGAUAAGUAUCCCACCUGGGAGUACGGGCGCAAGCCUGAAACUCAAAGGAAUUGACGGGGGCCCGCACAAGCGGUGAAGCAUGUGGUUUAAUUCGAUGAUACGCGAGGAACCUUACCAGGGCUUAAAUGUAGAUUGACGUAUUUGGAAACAGAUAUUUCUUCGGACAAUUUACAAGGUGCUGCAUGGUUGUCGUCAGCUCGUGCCGUGAGGUGUCAGGUUAAGUCCUAUAACGAGCGCAACCCCUGUUGUUAGUUGCCAGCGAGUAAUGUCGGGAACUCUAGCAAGACUGCCAGUGUAAACUGUGAGGAAGGUGGGGAUGACGUCAAAUCAUCACGGCCCUUACGUCCUGGGCCACACACGUGCUACAAUGGCCGGUACAGAGAGCAGCCACUUAGCGAUAAGGAGCGAAUCUAUAAAGCCGGUCACAGUUCGGAUCGGAGUCUGCAAC